This 66-nucleotide transfer RNA is filed under the name Chamaeleo africanus (African chameleon). RNAcentral describes it as "tRNA-Thr". It matches the Rfam family "tRNA". Rfam says of the family: Transfer RNA (tRNA) molecules are approximately 80 nucleotides in length. Their secondary structure includes four short double-helical elements and three loops (D, anti-codon, and T loops). Further hydrogen bonds mediate the characteristic L-shaped molecular structure. tRNAs have two regions of fundamental functional importance: the anti-codon, which is responsible for specific mRNA codon recognition, and the 3' end, to which the tRNAs corresponding amino acid is attached (by aminoacyl-tRNA synthetases). tRNAs cope with the degeneracy of the genetic code in two manners: having more than one tRNA (with a specific anti-codon) for a particular amino acid; and 'wobble' base-pairing, i.e. permitting non-standard base-pairing at the 3rd anti-codon position. Lineage: Eukaryota; Metazoa; Chordata; Lepidosauria; Squamata; Chamaeleonidae. The record is from RNAcentral.
GUCCCAGUAGCUAACACUUUAAAGCAGUGGCCUUGUAAACCAAAGACGGGUUCAACCCCUGGGUCA